UACGUAGGGUGCAAGCGUUGUCCGGAAUUAUUGGGCGUAAAGAGCUCGUAGGCGGUUUGUCGCGUCGGCUGUGAAAACUCGGGGCUCAACCCCGAGCCUGCAGUCGAUACGGGCAAACUAGAGUGUGGUAGGGGAGACUGGAAUUCCUGGUGUAGCGGUGAAAUGCGCAGAUAUCAGGAGGAACACCGGCGGCGAAGGCGGGUCUCUGGGCCGAUACUGACGCUGAGACGCGAAAGCGUGGGGAGCAAACAGG
Molecule: ribosomal RNA, 253 nt
Filed under: uncultured bacterium
Lineage: Bacteria
Description: partial 16S ribosomal RNA
Rfam family: Bacterial small subunit ribosomal RNA
Source: RNAcentral